GUCUCCUAUCAUAUACACAGACUACACAAAUCAAGCAGAAGAAUGCAACUGUGUUGAAAGACCUGCAGCAGAAGACUUGAUGAUGUAUGCAUGUAGUAAUGACUCUCAGUGGCAGAGCACAUCUAUGCCAGUCUACAGCUUGGAAAAUCAGCAAUACUCAGUAUGUGAACGGAAGGCAAGAAUGGGAUUUAACCCGAUGAACCUGGAAGCAUCUUUAUACAACGAGAUAUCCCUGUGAAAACAUGGUGGAUGAGGAUAGAACACGCACAUCUCGAAAGAAAUCUCCAUUUUCCAAACACAAAUGAACAAGGAACUUAUUAUUCUAAAUAUUAUUUGAUGACCUAAUACUUAGGUGGAUUUAAAUAGUUUACUUAUGAAAUUGU
This is a long non-coding RNA of Pelobates fuscus (common spadefoot toad), 383 nucleotides long. RefSeq lists it as uncharacterized. The transcript is spliced from 3 exons. NCBI's taxonomy places the organism in Eukaryota, Metazoa, Chordata, Amphibia, Anura, Pelobatidae. The record is from RefSeq and is a predicted model, not a curated record.